This 492-nucleotide ribosomal RNA is filed under the name uncultured bacterium. Its description in RNAcentral is "partial 16S ribosomal RNA". It matches the Rfam family "Bacterial small subunit ribosomal RNA", at positions 29 to 507 of the family's 1533-position model. The record is from RNAcentral.
AGUGAACGCUGGCGGUAGGCCUAACACAUGCAAGUCGAACGGCAGCACAGUAAGAGCUUGCUCUUACGGGUGGCGAGUGGCGGACGGGUGAGGAAUACAUCGGAAUCUACUUUUUCGUGGGGGAUAACGUAGGGAAACUUACGCUAAUACCGCAUACGACCUACGGGUGAAAGCAGGGGAUCUUCGGACCUUGCGCGAUUGAAUGAGCCGAUGUCGGAUUAGCUAGUUGGCGGGGUAAAGGCCCACCAAGGCGACGAUCCGUAGCUGGUCUGAGAGGAUGAUCAGCCACACUGGAACUGAGGCACGGUCCAGACUCCUACGGGAGGCAGCAGUGGGGAAUAUUGGACAAUGGGCGCAAGCCUGAUCCAGCCGUACCGCGUGGGUGAAGAAGGCCUUCGGGUUGUAAAGCCCUUUUGUUGGGAAAGAAAAGCAGCAGGUUAAUACCCCGCUGUUCUGACGGUACCCAAAGAAUAAGCACCGGCUAACUUCGUG